UACAGAGGGUGCGAGCGUUAAUCGGAAUUACUGGGCGUAAAGCGCGUUCAGGCGGCUCAGCAAGUCGGGCAUGAAAUCUCUCGGCUCAACCGGGAGGGGCUGUCCGAAACUGCUGGGCUUGAGGGCAGUAGAGGGUGGUGGAAUUCCGGGUGUAGUGGUGAAAUGCGUAGAUAUCCGGAGGAACACCAGUGGCGAAAGCGGCCACCUGGACUGUACCUGACGCUCAAACGCGAAAGCUAGGGGAGCGAACGGG
RNAcentral lists this ribosomal RNA (253 nucleotides) under uncultured bacterium. RNAcentral's name for it is "partial 16S ribosomal RNA". It matches the Rfam family "Bacterial small subunit ribosomal RNA", at positions 524 to 776 of the family's 1533-position model. The record is from RNAcentral.